Molecule: long non-coding RNA, 374 nt
Organism: Chrysemys picta bellii (western painted turtle)
Lineage: Eukaryota; Metazoa; Chordata; Testudines; Emydidae
Source: RefSeq, a predicted model, not a curated record
UUCUGACAGACCACUAUGCAGUCCAACGAACACCCGAAGCAAGUGAAGGACCUGCCGCCAAAGUGCCGCCGAAGACCCAGAGCGCCGCCGGACUGUGCAAAGAUAUCAUCAGACACAGAGGACUCCAACUCUGGCCAUGCAGUGGUAAGAAGGAACUGGAGAGGCAGCGUCUAUUCUGGGAUUUAUAUGAGGAAUUAAGUAAUCGUGCAAACUACAGAGUAAUACCCUACAACGUAUCUUGAUGGAGCUCUUGCUAAACAAAAUUGUUCUGAGGGCCUUCUUUCCCAUCUCUUCCAUCUCUGCCUGGUAAUCCGUUCUGAGCAGGUCCACAUACAACUACUGCACAUGCACUUAGAUCCCAUUUUUGAACACUC